CUUGGGAGGGACAUCUGAGGGCUUCUGUUAUACUCAGUGGUUUCUUAAUCUGGUUGAUGAUGACUGGUGCUGGAAGAAGAUGGAAGAAGGCUCUGAAAGUGUUUCUUGAAACUAAGAGGAAGGAGUGGACAGUCUUCACGGUGGAUGGGGUUUGCAAAGUGCACACCAAAGACUCCAGAGAAGACGUUGCCAGUUCAUAUCCCAAAUGUUGUUCUUUUGAAGCCCAUGAGUGAGUGAAAGUAGCACUGCGCGUGCCUUCAACAACAACACUUCAAAAUCGUGCCACAAUUAACAGAAGCAAAGUAAAGUUUUAUUUGUCUUGUGGAUGCUUCACUUGGGAAGGUGCUGUUGAAAGAGAGAGAACACCUGGGGACAGAGACCGGCCAGGUAUCCAGUCUGCCAGGCUUCUGCAUGGGUUUUGGGAGCCUGCAGAGAGUUGCUUGGGAUGCAGCAGUGGUUCUGAUGCUCGGAGUUCAAGCACCAUAAAUUUCUGCAUACUCAUCUCAGUUAAAGUUAUCAGGGAGAAAGGAAAAGCAAAAGCUCAAAAUAACCCUGAGAAAUACUGUUUGGGUGAUUCUGCUCACAAAUCAUCUUAUUUCACAAGAUUUUGGAAAGCGUCAUCACUCCCUGCUGCAACUGGGCCAUUUUGCAGCUUGAAGUUUUGAGGUGAGUCACCUGAAAAUGGAGCUAACAGCAGACUAAAUGAGAAGGCUCAGCAAAAUGACAGAUG
RNAcentral lists this long non-coding RNA (730 nucleotides) under Vulpes vulpes (red fox). Its description in RNAcentral is "lncRNA (ENSVVUG00000020455.1)". The record is from RNAcentral. Lineage: Eukaryota; Metazoa; Chordata; Mammalia; Carnivora; Canidae.